This 256-nucleotide ribosomal RNA is filed under the name uncultured bacterium. Its description in RNAcentral is "partial 16S ribosomal RNA". It matches the Rfam family "Bacterial small subunit ribosomal RNA", at positions 77 to 334 of the family's 1533-position model. The record is from RNAcentral.
CAAACUGAAGAUGGCGACCGGCGCACGGGUGGAGUAACACGUAUCCAACCUGCCGAUAACUCCGGAAUAGCCUUUCGAAAGAAAGAUUAAUACCGGAUAGUAUACGAAUAUCGCAUGAUAUUUUUAUUAAAGAAUUUCGGUUAUCGAUGGGGAUGCGUUCCAUUAGUUUGUUGGCGGGGUAACGGCCCACCAAGACUACGAUGGAUAGGGGUUCUGAGAGGAAGGUCCCCCACAUUGGAACUGAGACACGGUCCAA